RNAcentral lists this ribosomal RNA (122 nucleotides) under Punctelia borreri. RNAcentral's name for it is "partial 28S ribosomal RNA". It matches the Rfam family "Eukaryotic large subunit ribosomal RNA", at positions 1 to 121 of the family's 3401-position model. Lineage: Eukaryota; Fungi; Ascomycota; Lecanoromycetes; Lecanorales; Parmeliaceae. The record is from RNAcentral.
AUUGACCUCGGAUCAGGUAGGGAUACCCGCUGAACUUAAGCAUAUCAAUAAGCGGAGGAAAAGAAACCAACAGGGAUUGCCUCAGUAACGGCGAGUGAAGCGCAAAAGCCUUUCAAAUGAAA